Molecule: ribosomal RNA, 433 nt
Filed under: uncultured bacterium
Lineage: Bacteria
Description: partial 16S ribosomal RNA
Rfam family: Bacterial small subunit ribosomal RNA
Source: RNAcentral
AACGAACGCUGGCGGCAUGCCUAACACAUGCAAGUCGAACGAGACCUUCGGGUCUAGUGGCGCACGGGUGCGUAACGCGUGGGAACCUGCCCUUAGGUUCGGAAUAACUCCCCGAAAGGGGUGCUAAUACCGGAUAAUGUCUUCGGACCAAAGAUUUAUCGCCUUUGGAUGGGCCCGCGUUGGAUUAGCUAGUUGGUAGGGUAAAAGCCUACUAAGGCGACGAUCCAUAGCUGGUCUGAGAGGAUGGUCAGCCACACUGGGACUGAGACACGGCCCAGACUCCUACGGGAGGCAGCAGUGGGGAAUAUUGGACAGUGGGCGAAAGCCUGAUCCAGCAAUGCCGCGUGAGUGAUGAAGGCCUUAGGGUUGUAAAGCUCUUUUACCCGGGAUGAUAAUGACAGUACCGGGAGAAUAAGCUCCGGCUAACUCCGUG